Hypomesus transpacificus is the source of this 227-nucleotide long non-coding RNA. RefSeq lists it as uncharacterized. The transcript is spliced from 3 exons. Lineage: Eukaryota; Metazoa; Chordata; Actinopteri; Osmeriformes; Osmeridae. The record is from RefSeq and is a predicted model, not a curated record.
UCGUCGUUGUUGAAGCGAGGAAGGCAAGAAGAUAAGCAUACGUCCGACAUUGAGAACAGCAGUUUCAUGAAACAAAAUUAUUGUAUGGCUACAUCGGAAUUAGCUGGGCCUGCUCCUCUACAUAACCCUUUGUGACACGCACAACAUUUGUAACACUUCCAAGUUUGUUGGACGCCUUCAGAUGAGUCCAGUUCAAAUCUCUGGGGUCAGACCCCAAGACAGUGCCC